This 247-nucleotide ribosomal RNA is filed under the name uncultured bacterium. Its description in RNAcentral is "partial 16S ribosomal RNA". It matches the Rfam family "Bacterial small subunit ribosomal RNA", at positions 87 to 334 of the family's 1533-position model. The record is from RNAcentral.
UUGACUUAGUGGCGGACGGGUGAGUAACGCGUGGGUAACCUGCCUCACACAGGGGGAUAACAGUUGGAAACGACCGCUAAUACCGCAUAACCCGCUAGGGCCGCAUGGCCCGGACGGAAAAGAUUUAUCGGUGUGAGAUGGACCCGCGUUGGAUUAGCUAGUUGGCAGGGUAACGGCCUACCAAGGCGACGAUCCAUAGCCGGCCUGAGAGGGUGAACGGCCACAUUGGGACUGAGACACGGCCCAA